Molecule: long non-coding RNA, 1534 nt
Filed under: Salmo trutta (river trout)
Lineage: Eukaryota; Metazoa; Chordata; Actinopteri; Salmoniformes; Salmonidae
Description: lncRNA (ENSSTUG00000008126.1)
Source: RNAcentral
GUACAAUGAAUCAAAUCCACCAUAAACCAAAGCUUUUGAUCUCAAGUCAAGAAAUAUGCUUGUUUGACGUGGGCACUGUCUUUUGCUACCUGUGAUAACAACAACAACCACAACCACAACAACAACCACAACAACAACCACAACCACAACAACAACAACAACAACCACAACAACCACAACCACAACAUCAACCACAACAACAACAACAACCACAACAACAACCACAACAACAACAACAACAACCACAACAUCAACCACAACAACAACAACAACAACCACAACAACAACAACCACAACAACAACAACCACAACAACAACAACCACAAUAACAACAACAACAACCACAACAACAACAACAACCACAACAACAACCACAACCACAACAACAACCACAAUAACAACAACAACAACAAAAACAACAACCACAACCACAAUAACAACAACAACAACAACAACCACAAUAACAACAACAACAACCACAACAACAACAACAACCACAACAACAACCACAACCACAACAACAACCACAAUAACAACAACAACAACCACAACAACAACAACAACCACAAUAACAACAACAACAACAACAACCACAAUAACAACAAACAACAACAACCACAAUAACAACAACAACCACAACAACAACAACAACAACCACAACCACAAUAACAACAACCACAACAUCAACCACAACAUCAACCACAACAACAACAACAACAACAACAACAACAACAACCACAACAACAACAACCACAACAUCAACCACAACAACAACAACCACAACCACAACAUCAACCACAACAACAACCACAUCAACCACAACAUCAACCACAACAACAACCACAUCAACCACAACAACAACAACAACCACAACAACCACAACAACAACCACAACAACCACAACAACAACCACAACAACAACCACAACCACAACCACAACAACAACAACAACAACAACAACCACAACAACCACAACAACAACCACAACAACAACAACAACCACAAUAACAACAACCACAACCACAAUAACAACAACAACAACAACAACAACAACAACAACAACAACCACAACAACAACCACAAUAACAACAACCACAAUAACAACAACAACAACAACAACCACAACAACAACCACAACAACCACAACAAUAACAACAACAACAACCACAACCACAAUAACAACCACAACAACAACAACCACAACAACAACCACAACAACAACAACAACCACAACAACAACAACCACAACAACCACAACAACCACAACAUCAACCACAAUAACAACAACCACAAUAACAACAACCACAACAACAACCACAACAACAACAACCACAACAACCACAACAACAACCACAACAUUAACCACAACAACAACAACAACCACAACAACAACGACAACAACAACAACAACCACAACAACAAAAACAACCACAUCAACCACAACAUCAACCACAACCUAGAAAACUUGUUGUUUUUCUCACUUUUUUUCCCUCUUAAAGUGGCUUUCUUUCUUACACAAUGUGAACGCAGCAGA